GAAAUGCGAUACGUAGUGUGAAUUGCAGAAAUACGUGAACCAUCGAAUCUUUGAACGCAAAUUGCGCUCGCGGCUUCGGCCAAGAGCAUGCCUGCCUCAGCGUCGGGUUAAUCCUCGCUCUCCAUUCCCCUGUGGAAUGAUCUGAGCGGACCUGACCUUCCCAGCGCCAUUCAGUUGGAGCUGGGUUGGUUGAAGUGCAGAGGUUGUCGCAAGGACCCGUUAUGGGCCUCAACUGGGUAGGCAAUUCGUUGCUACAUGCUUUAGUUGAUGGCUUGGGACUUUGCAAUGGCGGCCCAAACCAGGAACCGAGCUUGCUCGGCACUUAACCCAUUUUCUCGACCUGAGCUCAGACAAGAUUACCCGCUGAACUUAA
This 373-nucleotide unclassified non-coding RNA is filed under the name uncultured fungus. RNAcentral describes it as "sequence contains ITS1". The stretch from base 1 to 105 matches the Rfam family "5.8S ribosomal RNA", at positions 50 to 154 of the family's 154-position model. The record is from RNAcentral. Lineage: Eukaryota; Fungi.